GACGAACGCUGGCGGCGUGCUUAACACAUGCAAGUCGAACGGGCCUUGUCCUCUUUUUUUUGGGGGUGGGGUUAGUGGCGAACGGGUGAGUAACACGUGAGUAACCUGCCCCUCACUUCUGGAUAACCGCUUGAAAGGGUGGCUAAUACGGGGUGUUCUGGCCUGCUCGCAUGGGUGGGUUUGGAAAGAUUCGACCGGUUUUGGUUGUUUUGGUGGGGGAUGGGCUCGCGGCCUAUCAGCUUGUUGGUGGGGUGAUGGCCUGCCAAGGCUUUGACGGGUAGCCGGCCUGAGAGGGUGGGCGGUCACACUGGGACUGAGACACGGCCCAGACUCCUACGGGAGGCAGCAGUGGGGAAUAUUGCACAAUGGGCGCAAGCCUGAUGCAGCGACGCCGCGUGAGGGAUGGAGGCCUUCGGGUUGUGAACCUCUUUCGCCAGUGAAGAAGGUCCUGCUCUUUGUGGUGGGGUUGACGGUAGCUGGGUAAUGAAGCGCC
RNAcentral lists this ribosomal RNA (493 nucleotides) under Actinomyces massiliensis. RNAcentral describes it as "bacterial SSU rRNA". It matches the Rfam family "Bacterial small subunit ribosomal RNA", at positions 28 to 494 of the family's 1533-position model. Lineage: Bacteria; Bacillati; Actinomycetota; Actinomycetes; Actinomycetales; Actinomycetaceae. The record is from RNAcentral.